This 84-nucleotide transfer RNA is filed under the name Methanocella conradii HZ254. RNAcentral describes it as "tRNA-Ser (GCT) (tRNA-Ser-GCT-1-1)". It matches the Rfam family "tRNA". Rfam says of the family: Transfer RNA (tRNA) molecules are approximately 80 nucleotides in length. Their secondary structure includes four short double-helical elements and three loops (D, anti-codon, and T loops). The record is from RNAcentral. Lineage: Archaea; Methanobacteriati; Methanobacteriota; Methanomicrobia; Methanocellales; Methanocellaceae. RNAcentral also lists the same sequence under 1 other name.
GUCGCGGUAUCCAAGCCUGGUAUGGAGCAGGUUUGCUAAACCUGUGCCCGAAAGGGCUCGGGCGUUCAAAUCGCCCCCGCGGCG